RNAcentral lists this ribosomal RNA (300 nucleotides) under uncultured bacterium. RNAcentral's name for it is "bacterial SSU rRNA". It matches the Rfam family "Bacterial small subunit ribosomal RNA", at positions 794 to 1090 of the family's 1533-position model. The record is from RNAcentral.
UCCACGCUAUAAACUAUGGACACUAGGUAUAAGGAGUAUCGACCCUCUUUGUGCCGAAGCUAACGCGUUAAGUGUCCCACCUGGGGAGUACGACCGCAAGGUUAAAACUCAAAGGAAUUGACGGGGACCCGCACAAGCGGUGGAUGAUGUGGUUUAAUUCGAUGCAACGCGAAAAACCUUACCCACCUUUGACAUGUACGGAAUCCUUUAGAGAUAGAGGAGUGCUCGAAAGAGAGCCGUAACACAGGUGCUGCAUGGCUGUCGUCAGCUCGUGUCGUGAGAUGUUGGGUUAAGUCCCGC